AUUUCAUAGGAAGCUUCUUUUCAGUGUUCACCGGUUGAAGUGGUGCAUUCUGGGUGAGUUCUGUCAAGGUUACCUCCACCUUUCUGCUUCGCCUGGUUCUUCUCAUCGCUCAACCUUCUUCACUCACCAUGUCUACAUUUUGGCGUCAAGCUGGACUAAACUAUGUGCAGUUUUCAUCGAUCUGUGCCAAAGUUGUGCGAUCUUGUCUCCAACCAGCACCAAGAGCCGCAGCUGAGAAACAGUCUCAGGCAUUUGUAAAGGCUACACGAUGGGAAGGAGGAAAACCAGUCAAAGUUGCAGCAGAGAAAUCAUGAGACUAAAUAACAUAGUAGCCAUGUACUAUGUACACACUGGCACCUUUUGCUUCCUUGAACUCUAUAGUAUGUUAAAAAAUUUAAGUAAAAUCUAUUUGUAAAUGCCUUCAG
Octopus sinensis (East Asian common octopus) is the source of this 425-nucleotide long non-coding RNA. RefSeq lists it as uncharacterized. The record is from RefSeq and is a predicted model, not a curated record. NCBI's taxonomy places the organism in Eukaryota, Metazoa, Mollusca, Cephalopoda, Octopoda, Octopodidae. The transcript is spliced from 3 exons.